This 253-nucleotide ribosomal RNA is filed under the name uncultured bacterium. Its description in RNAcentral is "partial 16S ribosomal RNA". It matches the Rfam family "Bacterial small subunit ribosomal RNA", at positions 524 to 776 of the family's 1533-position model. The record is from RNAcentral.
GACAGAGGUGCCAAGCGUUAGGCGGAAUCACUGGGCUUAAAGCGUGUGUAGGCGGAUGCCUAAGUACUUUGUGAAAUCCCCCGGCUCAACCGGGGAACGGCUGGGUAUACUGGGUGUCUUGGGUCAUCUAGGGGCUGCCGGAACAAAUGGUGGAGCGGUGAAAUGCGUAGAUAUCAUUUGGAACGCCAACGGCGAAAGCAGGCAGCUGGGGAUGCACCGACGCUGAGACACGAAAGCCAGGGGAGCGAACGGG